Daphnia pulex (common water flea) is the source of this 572-nucleotide long non-coding RNA. RefSeq lists it as uncharacterized. The record is from RefSeq and is a predicted model, not a curated record. Lineage: Eukaryota; Metazoa; Arthropoda; Branchiopoda; Diplostraca; Daphniidae. The transcript has 2 exons.
UCUCCUCCCCCUUCUUUAGCCCACCACUUCUCCUUACCAUCACACAUUCUUCGGGGCUACUGGAUGUUCCUUCGGGCUGGAUGUUAUCCAGGUCAGCAUGCUUCUCAUUCCCGAAAGUGUCCUCUACCUGUGUGCCACUAUAUACCACUUGACGAUCAUUGUAUCGCGUAAUGCCGGAUACUCCGUCGCAGAGUACGGCUACAACAAUAAAAUUUUCGCCUGGGCAUUGGGAGCCAUCAACACAGGAUAAUAUUUCUUAAGUGCUCUCCUGGCCUUCCGCAUUUACAGACGUGUAUAAGCAACGCCCAAACGAACCCAACGAGAGCUUGGAAAAAAUCGAGUAUUCAAAAUCUCAUCUUUCUAUCUUUGUACGUGUUUUUUUUAUUUAUUGCAGUUGUGACAUCACCGAUUAUCGCUUUCUAGUUAUUCACUUCAAGCUCACUGUCUAGAAUAUGUUCAUCAUUGAUUCAUACUACCAUUUCAUUCUUUUUUCAAGAGUUGAUUAAACUGCAUUAACCUGGCAUGGUGCUGUAAACGCAAUGUUCAAAUACAGAAAAAAAGAGCUACGAUGA